Molecule: RNA transcript, 2147 nt
Organism: Pyrus x bretschneideri (Chinese white pear)
Lineage: Eukaryota; Viridiplantae; Streptophyta; Magnoliopsida; Rosales; Rosaceae
Exons: 3
Source: RefSeq, a predicted model, not a curated record
CACGGCGUUUGCCAGCUGGCAAAAUCCCAAUGCCACCUUAAACCUGCCACGUGUCACUCACCCUCUUCCCCCGAAGUCACGCCGUAGACUCGUCGGUCAGUCUUCCCCACUUCUCGCUAAACUCCGAAAUGCAAAACUCCAAUUUCAAUUCUCACAAUUACUCUCUGAAUCUCUGCGAAUUUAUUUCCGAAUCCCAGAAAAUUAAAUUACCCAAAAAUCCAAAAGACUAAAUCGGAAAAUGAAGGCGGAGGCUUUGACUCUGGUGCUGGUCAACUUGGCCGGGAUCAUGGAGCGAGCCGACGAGUCGUUGCUCCCCGGCGUGUACAAGGAGGUCGGCGCCGCUCUCCACACCGACCCGACCGGGCUGGGGUCUCUCACUCUCUUCCGGUCCAUUGUGCAGUCCGCUUGCUACCCAAUUGCGGCGUACCUGGCCGUGCGCCACAACCGGGCCCACGUCAUCGCCCUCGGCGCCUUUCUCUGGGCCACCGCUACUUUUCUCGUCGCUUUUUCCUCCACUUUCACCGAGGUGGCUAUAUCCAGAGCUUUGAAUGGGAUUGGCCUUGCUCUAGUUACUCCGUCUAUCCAGUCCCUUGUAGCUGACUCAACUGAUGACAACAACCGAGGUAUGGCUUUCAGAUGGCUUCAACUAACGGGCAAUGUUGGUUCGAUAAUUGGUGGCCUUUGUUCUAUAUUGAUAGCUCCAAUAACAGUCGUGGGAAUCCCUGGGUGGAGAAUUUCCUUUCACCUUGUUGGUUAUUAGUGUUGUAGUCGGUGUUUUAGUCCGUCUGUACGCCACUGACCCACAUUUUCCAGAUUGUGAAACAAAAGAUAGCAGCCAGAAUUCUAGUAGUUCCUUGUGGUCACACGUGAAGGAACUAGCCCUAGAAGCUAUGUCGGUUAUUAAAAUUCCUUCCUUUCAGAUCGUUGUGGCGCAGGGUGUUACUGGUUCAUUUCCUUGGUCAGCAUUGUCAUUUGCGCCCAUGUGGUUGGAACUUACUGGCUUCUCUCAUGGGAAAUCCGCUUUCCUCAUCGCCUUGUUUGUGAUUGGAAGUUGCCUUGGUGGCUUCUUUGGAGGUAAAAUGGGAGAUAUCCUUUCCAUGCGUCUUCCAAAUGCAGGAAGGAUUAUAUUAGCACAGAUAAGCUCCACAUCUGCCAUCCCUCUUGCAGCAAUUCUUCUGCUUGCAUUACCUGCGGAUCCAUCUACGCUUGUCAUCCAUGGUUUCAUCUUGUUCAUCAUGGGAUUCUUAAUUUCAUGGAAUGCUCCAGCUACAAACAAUCCGAUUUUUGCAGAGAUAGUUCCUGAGAGAUCCCGAACAAAUAUAUGCUUUGGACAGAUCUUUCGAGUCCAUACUUUCAUCGUUCACUCCUCCAGUAGUUGGGAUAUUGGCUCAACGCGUUUAUGGUUAUAAACCAGUUCCUCAAGGGUCCAGUGCAUCUGAAGAGAUUGCCACGGAUAGGGGGAACGCUUUGUCAUUGGCAAAAGCACUAUAUACAGCAAUAGGAAUUCCAAUGGCUCUCUGUUGUGUCAUUUACUCAUUCCUAUAUUGCACCUACCCAAGAGACAGGGAGCGUGCACGGAUGGAAGUUUUAAUAGAAUCAGAGAUGCAACAAAUAGAAUUAGAAGAUUCGCCUACCGGAGGAGAAUAUUCACGUGCUCGGUUUCCUGAAUCAGAAGAGCUGUAUGUGAAUGAUAGAACUGUCAUUGAAGUAGAGUAUGAAGGUGAGGACACUCUUGAUGCUGACACCGAUGAUGAUGAACAGACACUGCUAUACCGCCAGUUAACGUUUGCCAAUUUGAGCCCGCUGUAAUCUUACCAGAAUUUCACUGAACAUUCCAGCUCUAUUCAAGCACAUCCAAAUACCAUACAUGUACGUAAGAAUUUUAUCCGUCCUGUUUUGACCUCCUGCCAGAAAACGAGCUAGAGAAAGGCAACUUCCAUACAAACCAACUGCUUGAGCUUGCCAACAGAAGAGUUCUCGCUUUCUUUGCUGGUUUUCUUGCCAUUGUAACCACAUGCUUUCUCGAGAGAAACAUUUGGAUAAAACGGUCGUACGACCGUCAAUUUUGCGUACGAGAUGUAACAAAUCGAUAAUGAGAUGAAACACAAUCAUUUAUAGUGAAUCAUAUUAUCCAAAUUUUGAUGAUA